Molecule: long non-coding RNA, 223 nt
Filed under: Drosophila guanche
Lineage: Eukaryota; Metazoa; Arthropoda; Insecta; Diptera; Drosophilidae
Source: RNAcentral
CCUCAAUGAAUUUAUUACUGGGCAAAACCCUCAACUACAUGUGUAUUGCAAUAAAUAGAUUUAACUGUUUGCAGAGGGGAGAGAGUGCAUUUUCACAGCUCUCUCUCUCUCAUCAUCAGCAGCGCCCUGAUUGUCAGUUCUCAUGUCUGCGGUCUCCAGUGCGUUGCCUGUCAUAUACUCAUAUUGCCCUGACUGAUAUCUUAAGAUUUAUAUGGCCCAAUGC